RNAcentral lists this small nuclear RNA (107 nucleotides) under Aotus nancymaae (Ma's night monkey). The record is from RNAcentral. Lineage: Eukaryota; Metazoa; Chordata; Mammalia; Primates; Aotidae.
GUGCUCGCUUCGGCAGCACGUAUACUAAAAUUGGAGCAAUACAGAGAAGAUUAGCAUGGCCCCUGUGCAACGAUGACAUAUAAAUUUGUGAAGCGUUCCAUAUUUUG